Non-coding RNA from Coturnix japonica (Japanese quail), 501 nucleotides. The record is from RefSeq and is a predicted model, not a curated record. NCBI's taxonomy places the organism in Eukaryota, Metazoa, Chordata, Aves, Galliformes, Phasianidae.
UGGAUUAUUACUGAGUGCAGCUAUUGGGUUUCUUUGUUCCUUUUUAUGCGUUGUUGGUAGACAGAGAUGACUGUGUGCAAAACGUGGCUGAGAAUCCCGGACAGGGCAAUGUAAUUCCACUGGCCAAAUGUAUUUAACUUUGUGGAAGGGUGGUGGGACUGAUAAGAGAACUUGAUCUCUCUUGAGGCGCAGCAAGACAGUACCAGCUCUCUCUUCCUUUUACUUUAGGUGGGCGCAGGGUCUCUGUGAGGCCCAUCGAUUGGAAAACCACCUUCCCCCCAACACGGAGACUGAAACGAAAAGCCGCUGAGGACACGGAUGAGCCCCCAGCUAAAAAACUACCAAUGGAGAUUGGAAGAACUGGAAGGAGAAACCGAUGUCAAUGAUGAGGAUGUGGAUGAGCUCCUUCUGGACAUGUAAAACAUGACGGCGUAACACCACCGCCUGAUUAUAUAGUUUAAAACAACAACAAACAAUUAAAACCAACCCUGUUCCUUUCCA